AACGAACGCUGGCGGCAUGCCUAACACAUGCAAGUCGAACGAGACCUUCGGGUCUAGUGGCGCACGGGUGCGUAACGCGUGGGAACCUGCCCAAAGGUGCGGAAUAACUCAGGGAAACUUGAGCUAAUACCGCAUGAUGCCGAAAGGCCAAAGAUUUAUCGCCUUUGGAUGGGCCCGCGUCGGAUUAGCUUGUUGGUGGGGUAAUGGCCCACCAAGGCGACGAUCCGUAGCUGGUUUGAGAGGAUGAUCAGCCACACUGGGACUGAGACACGGCCCAG
Molecule: ribosomal RNA, 278 nt
Filed under: uncultured bacterium
Lineage: Bacteria
Description: partial 16S ribosomal RNA
Rfam family: Bacterial small subunit ribosomal RNA
Source: RNAcentral